RNAcentral lists this ribosomal RNA (484 nucleotides) under uncultured bacterium. RNAcentral describes it as "partial 16S ribosomal RNA". It matches the Rfam family "Bacterial small subunit ribosomal RNA", at positions 30 to 507 of the family's 1533-position model. The record is from RNAcentral.
AUUGAACGCUGGCGGCAUGCUUUACACAUGCAAGUCGAACGGCAGCACGGGCUUCGGCCUGGUGGCGAGUGGCGAACGGGUGAGUAAUAUAUCGGAACGUACCCAGAAGUGGGGGAUAACGUAGCGAAAGUUACGCUAAUACCGCAUACGAUCUAUGGAUGAAAGCAGGGGACCGCAAGGCCUUGUUCUCCUGGAGCGGCCGAUAUCUGAUUAGCUAGUUGGUGAGGUAAAGGCUCACCAAGGCGACGAUCAGUAGCUGGUCUGAGAGGACGACCAGCCACACUGGAACUGAGACACGGUCCAGACUCCUACGGGAGGCAGCAGUGGGGAAUUUUGGACAAUGGGCGCAAGCCUGAUCCAGCAAUGCCGCGUGAGUGAAGAAGGCCUUCGGGUUGUAAAGCUCUUUUGUCAGGGAAGAAACGGUAGAGGCUAAUAUCCUUUGCUAAUGACGGUACCUGAAGAAUAAGCACCGGCUAACUACGUG